Molecule: non-coding RNA, 72 nt
Organism: Salmo salar (Atlantic salmon)
Lineage: Eukaryota; Metazoa; Chordata; Actinopteri; Salmoniformes; Salmonidae
Source: Rfam
UCCCGCGUGGCUCAGUUUGUAGAGCAUGGUGUUUGCAACGCCAGGGUUGUGGGUUCGAUUCCCACGGGGGAC